CCUACGGGUGGCAGCAGUGAGGAAUAUUGGUCAAUGGGCGAGAGCCUGAACCAGCCAAGUCGCGUGAGGGAGUACUGCCCUCUGGGUUGUAAACCUCUUUUGUCGGGGAGCAAAAGCCGGACGUGUCCGGCUGUGAGAGUACCCGAAGAAAAAGCAUCGGCUAACUCCGUGCCAGCAGCCGCGGUAAUACGGAGGAUGAGAGCGUUAUCCGGAUUCACUGGGAGUAAAGGGAGCGUAGACGGCCAUGCAAGCCAGGGGUGAAAGCCCGGGGCCCAACCCCGGGACUGCCCUUGGAACGGUGCGGCGAGAGUGCGGGAGGGGCAGGCGGAAGUCCGGGUGUAGCGGUGAAAUGCGUAGAUAGCAGGAGGAACACCGGCGGCGAAGGCGGCCUGCUGGACUGCGACUGACGUUGAGGCUCGAAAGCGUGGGGAGCGAACAGGAUUAGAUACCCUAGUAGUC
RNAcentral lists this ribosomal RNA (459 nucleotides) under uncultured bacterium. RNAcentral describes it as "partial 16S ribosomal RNA". It matches the Rfam family "Bacterial small subunit ribosomal RNA", at positions 338 to 795 of the family's 1533-position model. The record is from RNAcentral.